CCUACGGGAGGCAGCAGUGGGGAAUCUUAGACAAUGGGCGCAAGCCUGAUCUAGCCAUGCCGCGUGAGCGAUGAAGGCCUUAGGGUUGUAAAGCUCUUUCAGUGGGGAAGAUAAUGACUGUACCCACAGAAGAAGCCCCGGCUAACUCCGUGCCAGCAGCCGCGGUAAUA
This 170-nucleotide ribosomal RNA is filed under the name uncultured bacterium. RNAcentral describes it as "partial 16S ribosomal RNA". It matches the Rfam family "Bacterial small subunit ribosomal RNA", at positions 338 to 525 of the family's 1533-position model. The record is from RNAcentral.